RNAcentral lists this ribosomal RNA (165 nucleotides) under uncultured bacterium. Its description in RNAcentral is "partial 16S rRNA". It matches the Rfam family "Bacterial small subunit ribosomal RNA", at positions 355 to 511 of the family's 1533-position model. The record is from RNAcentral.
UGGGGAAUCUUCCACAAUGGACGCAAGUCUGAUGGAGCAACGCCGCGUGAGUGAAGAAGGUUUUCGGAUCGUAAAGCUCUGUUGUAAGAGAAAAACGUGUGUGAGAGUGGAAAGUUCACACAGUGACGGUAACUUACCAGAAAGGGACGGCUAACUACGUGCCAG